UACGUAGGGUGCGAGCGUUAAUCGGAAUUACUGGGCGUAAAGCGUGCGCAGGCGGUUCGUUGUGUCGGCGGUGAAAGCCCCGGGCUUAACCUUGGAAUGGCCGUCGAAACUGGCGAACUGGAGUGUGGCAGAGGGGGGUGGAAUUCCGCGUGUAGCAGUGAAAUGCGUAGAGAUGCGGAGGAACACCGAUGGCGAAGGCAGCCCCCUGGGCUGACACUGACGCUCAGGCACGAAAGCGUGGGGAGCAAACCGG
This 253-nucleotide ribosomal RNA is filed under the name uncultured bacterium. Its description in RNAcentral is "partial 16S ribosomal RNA". It matches the Rfam family "Bacterial small subunit ribosomal RNA", at positions 524 to 776 of the family's 1533-position model. The record is from RNAcentral.